Molecule: long non-coding RNA, 854 nt
Organism: Lycium barbarum (goji berry)
Lineage: Eukaryota; Viridiplantae; Streptophyta; Magnoliopsida; Solanales; Solanaceae
Exons: 3
Source: RefSeq, a predicted model, not a curated record
UUUUCUUCUUUUGGCAUUUUCCCUGCUUUCCCUUUCGGUUUUCCCAUAUUUCUUCACCCCCAAUUAAUCUAUUAUUUCCCCCAAUUUCACUCUACUUUAAAAUCUAUUGCUCUCUGCUAUUCUUUCACUUUAUCUUGUCCUUAUCGCAUUGUGGUUCAAUUUGCUUUCCUGUGGUUGCUUCGACUAUUUUAAAUUUGUUGUUGCAGCAUUGAAGCAGCUAACGAAAUGGACCUGAUCAAUUCUUAUACUGGAGAUAUAAGACUAAUGAUAUAAUAGCUUUAUUAUUACUUAUGCAACAGUUGCAGAUGAAUCCAAUAAGUAAAAUGAUUUAUAAAUAUUCUUUCCUUUCCUUGAGGGUCGUGUGAAACAGUGAAAGCACUGCAACCUUUAAGAGUCCGCCUGGUAAGGAAUAAAGUAUAAAGCCAUUGCUCUCCACAUGUAACAUGUCAAUCAUGUUAUAACGUAAAUAUCAAACUACAUUCGACUUCCUAUUAAGUCUUCUCAUUUUUAAUUUAACUAUUUGCAAGAGGAUUAUUUGAAAGGAGAUAAAGAAAUUUAAAUCAUAUAAAGAAAUUUAAAUCGUAACCAGAUUGUUGCUGUAGCAAGUGAUCGAGUCAAAAGGAAAAUACAAGCUCCGUGUAAUAUUCCUCCUUUUUAUAUUUCAGUGAAAAAUACAAGAAAUGGUGUUGAUGUGUUCAUAUGUAGCAGUUAGACGAGAUUUCAAUCAAUGAAGCUGAUUUUGGUUGCUGAAGGCCUUUUUGGGUUAGCUCUGUUGGAAGAUCAUAUUAAAAAUGUUAAUGUUAAUUUGAAGGAAUAAAAAUCUGGAGCCUACAUUAACGUGUAGAUCUUACUGU